UACGUAGGGUGCAAGCGUUAAUCGGAAUUACUGGGCGUAAAGCGUGCGCAGGCGGUUUUGUAAGUCUGUCGUGAAAUCCCCGGGCUCAACCUGGGAAUUGCGAUGGAGACUGCAAGGCUAGAAUCUGGCAGAGGGGGGUAGAAUUCCACGUGUAGCAGUGAAAUGCGUAGAGAUGUGGAGGAACACCGAUGGCGAAGGCGACAUCCUGGACCGGUAUUGACGCUGAGGCGCGAAAGCCAGGGGAGCAAACGGG
RNAcentral lists this ribosomal RNA (253 nucleotides) under uncultured bacterium. Its description in RNAcentral is "partial 16S ribosomal RNA". It matches the Rfam family "Bacterial small subunit ribosomal RNA", at positions 524 to 776 of the family's 1533-position model. The record is from RNAcentral.